UGAUCACAUGACCUGCUGACAAAUUUACACUUCCUGUCAGCGAAGAAAGAACAGGAUCCUCAUCAGCCUCCGUCGCUGCCGGGUCAAAACAGUCUGGGGUUUCUCAUUACAGUUCAGUUUUAUUUUGAUGUGAAUUUCUGUCAAAUUCAAUUAGUUUUAGUUUUUAUGGUAUUUUGCUGGUUUUUAUUUGUUAUUGGGGUCUGCCCAUAGCAACGCGUAGGGAGAGCAGUGACUGACUUGCUUCACAAGGUACCUGCCCUGCAAUGCAUGGAGGGCAGUCCAUUAUUCUACACGCAAUAGAACGUCUCUUUACUUAUUUAUACAUUUAUUUAUUUUUCUUCCAUCAACCUGAAUGCGGCUCGAUGGGGAGCAAUCACGUGUAGAGGGAUUCCAUUUUACGAUGGCGACGUAAAAAGUGAAAAACGAGCAAAAUUUCCAACUGCCGAAACACAGAGUGCAACUGAAACCAACUGCCGCUCCAUUAGAGUGUGAAAUGAAGUGGAUUUUUUUUCCCAUUUUUUUUCUCCGAAGAGUUUUUGCAGCGCUAGUGGCUCGUAUUUUUGCGACAGUAGGCAGACAGGAAAGCGGGUGAGGAAAGGGGGGAAGAUAUAGCUCAUGACAUUGAUACGCAUGCCUGCUCCGGUAAAAUGUUUUAGAAAUUUCUCUAGGGCUUACGGUUUUCUGGCAAAAUAAUGCGCCAGGGUAACUGACAGGCUGAACCAUUCGUUUUUAUGCUUUUCUGAAAAAGUUCAGACUUCAGCACACACUAUCUUUCUCUCAUCGCUGCUAUUACUGUGAGUGAGCUACAGAUCUCAGUCGCGGUACUAUGGGAGAUGACAAACAGCCCUCUCAUACUCUUCAAACAGUUUUCAAAUACGUAUCUCGGUUCUCAAACGGGAAGGAGUUGUUCGGAGUGCUUUUUCCAUAUUAACUGACUGGGUGUCUCACAAAGAUAGAAUUCUUUUUCCAUCUUUCUGUCUCACAGGCAGUUAGCAGAUGAUCUAUUACCAUAGCAACGGAACACAGCAGGGCAGUGCAGCUGAUUAGGACUACAAAAACGCAUCACUGUAGUUCUAAUUAACACUCAGUUAAAACAGAGGGCUGAGCUGCCAUUUAGAACUACUGGCUGUUUUGGGCAUUUUAUAACUGAUAUAUACAUGUACCAGUAUGUAUAUAGGCAAUUCAUUAGCAUUAGCCAUUUAGCUUAAAUAAGCUAUUAGCUAUUUUCUUAUUUAUUAGCCAUGUGUAACCCGGGUGUAAAUUUUGACUUCCAUUUCCCCCAUUAUCCAGUUUUCUGAACUCCCUGUUAUUUUAAAUCUCGCGAUACCGCUAAUAUAAUACCAGCGAUUCUCGCGAGAUUGUCCAUAGCCAAUCGCUGUUGGGCUCUGUAUCACAUGUACCAACACCGCCCAUUCGGCUAGGUAUAUUAGUUGGAGCAGGGAAGAGUAAGAUUAGGACGCGCUGGGAGGAGCAGAGCUGCAGGAGCCGACUACAUGUACCCAGAAGGAGGUGGGGAAAAAAGCCCAUUGUGUGGGUGGAAACUGUCCACUGUAAAAGUGUGGAAUCGAAGGAUGGCGAGCUAGAACGUCUGGAAGGAAAGACUGCACUUUGUGCUGAAGAACUUCUGCUUCUCCUGCCUGGUGGUAGGAGGCUCUUGCAGCGAACGAACAAUUUUAAAUUCCAUUGUGAUCUGACUUUUUUGUCACUACGGACCUGCACCAAGUACGUCAACAACAGUUGAUUGGGACCUCUAACCAACCCCAGCUGGGGUAGAUGAACUAAAGGGUGGAGGUUCAUUGGAACUGUGGAACGGAUGAUUAUUGUUUUCUUUAGUUAUUGUUUUGUUUUCUUUUCUUUUCCUUUAUUUUUGUGCAUUUCUUUUGCUAUGGCAAAUCAGAUCUUGUAAAUAUGUAUAAAUACCCACAAUAUAAAUUCAAGACACCUGCAAACUGCAAAAUUUCUACUGUCUCCUCCUUCAUGAGUCGAUCCUAUUCUCAGAAUUUCUAAACCUAACUCAUUGAUCUUGGUUACUACCCAUUUACAUUUAUUGAGAAAAGUAUUACCUUUCAUUAAUAUGCUACAUUAAUUUAUGGCGAGCUAGCCAGGAGGAGUUGUACAGAGCUGAAGUCUUGCAGUUGCUAUUUUGUUUUUGCUAUUAUGGAUGUUUUGGCGAAAUAUGGGGUUAAAAUACCCAAUGCAGUGUUGAUUAAAUAUGCAACAAACACAGAAACUGAUAAUGAAGUAGCUGAUUUUCUGACAGGUUAUGGGUCAAUGGAAAAGUUUAAAUUUAUAACUGAUUCUGACUCAGA
This is a long non-coding RNA of Gambusia affinis (western mosquitofish), 2309 nucleotides long. RefSeq lists it as uncharacterized. NCBI's taxonomy places the organism in Eukaryota, Metazoa, Chordata, Actinopteri, Cyprinodontiformes, Poeciliidae. The record is from RefSeq and is a predicted model, not a curated record. The transcript is spliced from 3 exons.